GUGGGGAAUAUUGGACAAUGGGCGAAAGCCUGAUCCAGCCAUGCCGCGUGUGUGAAGAAGGUCUUCGGAUUGUAAAGCACUUUAAGUUGGGAGGAAGGGCAGUAAGUUAAUACCUUGCUGUUUUGACGUUACCGACAGAAUAAGCACCGGCUAACUUCGUGCCAGCAGCCGCGGUAAUACGAAGGGUGCAAGCGUUAAUCGGAAUUACUGGGCGUAAAGCGCGCGUAGGUGGUUUUGUAAGUUGGAGGUGAGAUCCCCGGGCUCAACCUGGGAACUGCCUCCAAAACUGCAUGACUAGAGUACGGUAGAGGGUAGUGGAAUUUCCUGUGUAGCGGUGAAAUGCGUAGAUAUAGGAAGGAACACCAGUGGCGAAGGCGACUACCUGGACUGAUACUGACACUGAGGUGCGAAAGCGUGGGGAGCAAACAGGAUUAGAAACCCUGGUAGUCC
This 450-nucleotide ribosomal RNA is filed under the name uncultured bacterium. RNAcentral's name for it is "partial 16S ribosomal RNA". It matches the Rfam family "Bacterial small subunit ribosomal RNA", at positions 354 to 796 of the family's 1533-position model. The record is from RNAcentral.